RNAcentral lists this transfer RNA (79 nucleotides) under Alphaproteobacteria bacterium. Its description in RNAcentral is "tRNA-Arg". The record is from RNAcentral. Lineage: Bacteria; Pseudomonadati; Pseudomonadota; Alphaproteobacteria.
GUCGGCGUCGCCUACCGGCAGGGCGGCGGGUUGCGGACCGCGCGGGCGCGCCGCGAGGUGAUCCUCGCCGCCGGCGCCA